UACGGAGGAUCCAAGCGUUUUCCGGAUUUAUUGGGUUUAAAGGGUGCGUAGGCGGAUUUCUAAGUCAGAGGUGAAAGUUUGCAGCUUAACUGUAAAAUUGCCUUUGAAACUGGUAGUCUUGAGUACAGUUGAGGUGGGCGGAAUGUGUCAUGUAGCGGUGAAAUGCUUAGAUAUGAUACAGAACACCGAUUGCGAAGGCAGCUCACUAAACUGUAACUGACGCGGAGGAACGAAAGCGUGGGGAGCGAACAGG
Molecule: ribosomal RNA, 253 nt
Filed under: uncultured bacterium
Lineage: Bacteria
Description: partial 16S ribosomal RNA
Rfam family: Bacterial small subunit ribosomal RNA
Source: RNAcentral